RNAcentral lists this ribosomal RNA (497 nucleotides) under uncultured bacterium. RNAcentral describes it as "partial 16S ribosomal RNA". It matches the Rfam family "Bacterial small subunit ribosomal RNA", at positions 28 to 507 of the family's 1533-position model. The record is from RNAcentral.
GAUGAACGCUGGCGGCGUGCCUAACACAUGCAAGUCGAGCGGAAAGACGAGGAGCUUGCUUCUCUGACGUGAGCGGCGCGCGGGUGUGUAACACGUGUAUAACCUACCUAUGAGACUGGGAUAACUUCGGGAAACGGGAUCUAAUACCGGAUAAUCUACUGAACCGCAUGGUUGAAUAGUAAAAGACGGUUUUGCUGUCACUUCUCGAUGGUUCCGCGCCGCAUUAGCUAGUUGGUAGGGUAACGGCUUACCAAGGCGACGAUGCGUAGCCGACCUGAGAGGGGGAUCGGCCACACUGGAACUGAGACACGGUCCAGACUCCUACGGGAGGCAGCAGUAGGGAAUCUUCCGCAAUGGGCGAAAGCCUGACGGAGCAAGGCCGCGUGAGUGAUGAAGGUCUUCGGAUCGUAAAACUCUGUUAUUAGGGAAGAACAAAUGUGUAAGUAAAUCUGCACGUCUUGACGGUACCUAAUAAAAAAGCCACGGCUAACUACGUG